GACGAACGCUGGCGGCGUGCUUAACACAUGCAAGUCGAACGGAAAGGCCCUGCUUUUGUGGGGUGCUCGAGUGGCGAACGGGUGAGUAACACGUGAGUAACCUGCCCUUGACUUUGGGAUAACUUCAGGAAACUGGGGCUAAUACCGGAUAGGAGCUCCUGCUGCAUGGUGGGGGUUGGAAAGUUUCGGCGGUUGGGGAGGGACUCGCGGCUUAUCAGCUUGUUGGUGGGGUAGUGGAUUACCAAGGCUUUGACGGGUAGCCGGCCUGGGAGGGUGACCGGCCACAUUGGGACUGAGAUACGGCCCAGCCUCCUACGGGAGGCAGCAGUGGGGAAUAUUGCACUAUGGGCGGAAGCCUGAUGCAGCACCGCCGCGUGCGGGAUGACGGCCUUCGGGUUGUAAACCGCUUUCGCCUGUGACGAAGCGUGAGUGACGGUAAUGGGUAAAGAAGCACCGGCUAACUACGUG
Molecule: ribosomal RNA, 468 nt
Filed under: uncultured bacterium
Lineage: Bacteria
Description: partial 16S ribosomal RNA
Rfam family: Bacterial small subunit ribosomal RNA
Source: RNAcentral